CCUACGUGUGGCUGCAGUGGGGAAUAUUGGACAAUGGGCGAAAGCCUGAUCCAGCCAUGCCGCGUGUGUGAAGAAGGCCUUCGGGUUGUAAAGCACUUUCAGUGGGGAAGAAAGCCUUGGGGCUAAUACCCUCGAGGAAGGACAUCACCCACAGAAGAAGCACCGGCUAACUCCGUGCCAGCAGCCGCGGUAAUACGGAGGGUGCGAGCGUUAAUCGGAAUUACUGGGCGUAAAGCGCGCGUAGGCGGUCUGAUAAGCCGGUUGUGAAAGCCCCGGGCUCAACCUGGGAACGGCAUCCGGAACUGUCAGGCUAGAGUGAAGGAGAGGAAGGUAGAAUUCCCGGUGUAGCGGUGAAAUGCGUAGAGAUCGGGAGGAAUACCAGUGGCGAAGGCGGCCUUCUGGACUGACACUGACGCUGAGGUGCGAAAGCGUGGGUAGCAAACAGGAUUAGAUACCCGAGUAGUC
This 465-nucleotide ribosomal RNA is filed under the name Vreelandella stevensii. Its description in RNAcentral is "partial 16S ribosomal RNA". It matches the Rfam family "Bacterial small subunit ribosomal RNA", at positions 338 to 795 of the family's 1533-position model. The record is from RNAcentral. Lineage: Bacteria; Pseudomonadati; Pseudomonadota; Gammaproteobacteria; Oceanospirillales; Halomonadaceae.